GUCUUUUACAGUUUUGAUCAAGUGGAGAUUGACACUCAGAGGACAGAGGCUUGUGAAUGACCAUGCAGAGGAUAUGUGCCCAGUCAAGCUUGAAGGCUCUGACUCCACACUUCUCAAACUGACAGGAAAAGAACAGUUGGUGGCAGACUGUAGACACCAGAAUCUACUCAGUGCCACAGAAUUCACUUAAAGUCCGUUCUAGGUCGAUCAAACCUUAUAGAUUUGAUAGACAAAUAUUUGUGUUCUUCAUGCUGUGGCAGAGAUGGCCCUGUGACAUUUCCAGAAAGUCCAACACUAACAUGAAGCACUUUUGAAAACACUAUAUUGGAAUCUGAAAUAAAAUCAGUAGAAAGAGGAACAUAAUGGUCACUGGGAUGAUUGGAGGCCAGGGCCAGCAUCAUCAGGGGCACAGGAGGCUGAGGAGCAUCAUCACCUCUGAACCAGGAUGCACUGAAUAUUUAUACAAGGAUUUCUGGUACAGCACAGCAGUCAGGAUGGCAGGCAUUGGCUUCCCGAAUCCUACCUAUGCCAGAUCCAAGGUGGAAGCCAGUGAGAGGAAGGCCUCUGAGGAAGGCCCCAGGCCCCAAGACUCACUCCAGAAGAAGUGGACAGAGAAAUGGGGAAGAGUGACUCUAUUCCUGCUCCUCCUCCGUAAUAACAUGACUGACAUCAGCAUUGCUAGAACGGCAUCUAUGCAACAGUGUCCCCACAAAACUUAUUCAAUGUUCUGCAAACAGAUACACUGAGAAACUGUAGGUUAAGUCAAGCUAAACCCAUGUUAUUACUGCAUUGCUCCUCAAAGUGAUGAGCAUCAAUGCAGAAGCAUAAUUAACAUGAAAGUCGUUAUUAUGUACUAUGGUUUUAGAUCAUAUCAUAAA
Non-coding RNA from Peromyscus maniculatus bairdii (prairie deer mouse), 878 nucleotides. The record is from RefSeq and is a predicted model, not a curated record. NCBI's taxonomy places the organism in Eukaryota, Metazoa, Chordata, Mammalia, Rodentia, Cricetidae.